RNAcentral lists this ribosomal RNA (403 nucleotides) under Verrucomicrobiota bacterium. Its description in RNAcentral is "Verrucomicrobia bacterium partial 16S ribosomal RNA". It matches the Rfam family "Bacterial small subunit ribosomal RNA", at positions 355 to 776 of the family's 1533-position model. The record is from RNAcentral. Lineage: Bacteria; Pseudomonadati; Verrucomicrobiota.
UGGGGAAUAUUGCACAAUGGGCGCAAGCCUGAUGCAGCAACGCCGCGUGAACGAUGAAGGUCUUCGGAUCGUAAAGUUCUGUUGCAGGGGAAGAUAAUGACGGUACCCUGUGAGGAAGCCCCGGCUAACUACGUGCCAGCAGCCGCGGUAAUACGUAGGGGGCUAGCGUUAUCCGGAUUUACUGGGCGUAAAGGGUGCGUAGGUGGUCUUUCAAGUCGGUGGUGAAAGGCUACGGCUCAACCGUAGUUAGCCUCCGAAACUGGAAGACUUGAGUGCAGGAGAGGAAAGUGGAAUUCCCAGUGUAGCGGUGAAAUGCGUAGAUAUUGGGAGGAACACCAGUAGCGAAGGCGGCUUUCUGGACUGCAACUGACACUGAGGCACGAAAGCGUGGGUAGCAAACAGG